This 2660-nucleotide small RNA is filed under the name Pan troglodytes (chimpanzee). RNAcentral's name for it is "retained intron". Lineage: Eukaryota; Metazoa; Chordata; Mammalia; Primates; Hominidae. The record is from RNAcentral.
CGGCGGGGAUCGCAGGGAGCCGGUCCGCCGCCGGAACGGGAGCCUGGGUGUGCGUGUGGAGUCGGGACUCGUGGGAGACGAUCGCGAUGAACACGGUGCUGUCGCGGGCGAACUCACUGUUCGCCUUCUCGCUGAGCGUGAUGGCGGCGCUCACCUUCGGCUGCUUCAUCACCACCGCCUUCAAAGACAGGAGCGUCCCGGUGCGGCUGCACGUCUCGCGGAUCAUGCUGUGAGUGAGGCCGGGCUGGCGGUGCAGGACGCCGGGACCGGGCUGGGGCGGAAGCCGAAGCCGGGCCGCCGCGCCGGGGCUGCCGUGCCGGGGCCGCGGGCAGGGCGUCCGGAUCGCCCUCCUGAGCGGCAGUUCGCCCCCGAGGGCGGUCGUCAAGGGGUGGACGUCGCAGGCUUUUCCGGCGUCCCCUCGGAACUUGCACCCCUCCACCGUAAAUUCCCGGGCUUGCUCUUAAAUUUUAAUUUUGAGCCUUCCUCAGGUCGGUGCCUCCGCUUGCUUCCUGUUCCUCACUUCCCUCCACCCACGCCUGGCCAAUGAGGGAGCAACACAACAGCAGAGCCGGCGCCGCCGCCCGCCUGGGCUGGCGCCUCCCGCGCGUCCGGUGCUGCUCGUGGUCCGCAUGCGAGGCCCUCCAGGCGCUGCCGCCGCGCUCUGGGUCGGGCUUCCGUGGGGUUUCCUGGCGGCUCUGGAGGCCACAGGACGGGGUUGUCUUUGUGUCAUUCAUCACCCGAGUUUGCCCUGUUUGACAUUCCCUUUACAGUUGUUGCCUUUGCACCUUCAGAAGGCAGUAAACAGUUGGAGCUGCUUUGAAGUUGGCCAGAGAUGUUGGGCACUGAGAGAAUUAAGCAUCUUAGCCUUCUGAUACAGCGAGAUUUUUGUUUUGUUGGGUUUCUUUCUUUCUUUUUCUUUUGCCAACCACUUGAAGAAGUCUGCGAAAACGCCAAAAAAUGCAGUUCGAAAUGACAGUGCCAUUUCGCUAUUGCCUAUUUUGUCCUUGAUUUUAUCCUCUGGCACUUUUGUCUUUAAUCGUCGUAUUUAUUUUUCCAUCUCUUGUUCUCAUACUCUUCUACUCUAUUUCCAUCUUCCACAAGUUCUUUAACCUUAGUUUAUUUCUUUGUCAGAAUCGCCAAGAAGCCAGUCAUCAAAUAGCGAGCCUUCUCCCCUCACCUUUUUUUUUUUUUUUAAAUUACUGUACUGAUGUUUGUUAGAUAUUGUUCGAAUAGACCUGGGGUGGAAAUCAGCACUGCCAUUGUCAGCCCUAUGAGGGUUAGAAGAGCUUGGUGCAUAUUAAACACUGAACAGAUGUUAGCUGUUGUUGUCUUGAGCAAGUUUUCUUACCAUUCUGGGCCUUAAUUUCUUUUUGUUUAAGAUGGAAGUAAUACCUAAUUGGUAGGUUGUGAGAAUUAUUUGAAAUGUGAAAAAUAUUGUCAGUGGGUCUGAGCCGUAGUAAACAGUAAAUAGCAGCUGGUUACAGUAGUAUCCCCUUAAUGGGGUAGGUAUACGUUCCAAGACCCCCAGUGGAUGGCUGAAACCACGGAUAGCACUAAACCCUAUAUAUACUUGUUUUUUUCCUAUACCGUACAUACAUACCUACCUAUGAUAAAACUUACAAGUUAAGCACAAUAAGAGAUUAACAAUAACAUAAUAGAACUGUAACAAUAUACUAUAAUAAAAGUUAUGUGAAUAUGAUCUCUUUCCCCUUCUCUCAAAAUAACUUAUUUUACUGGACUCACCUAUUUUCACACCAGAUUGACCGCGGAUAAUUGAAACCGGAAAGUGAAACCUCGGAUAAGGGGGUGAUUACUGUUAUCAUCCUUUAAUAUGCCAUCUGUUAGUAUUCGUAUCACCUUGUAGUCAUGUGUAGCUUUCUUCUACCCAUUCUGCAAAAUUGCUUUACAUCAAGUAUUUACUAUUCCUUUUAGCAGUUUUUAUCCCCUUGUGAGCUUUGUUAGGGAUUCUCUUGAGGUAUAUGCAAUUAGCUGAAGACCUACUUUAAUAUUGGAUUAGAAUGUUUCUCCUGUUUUCACACUUACAGGUUUCUCUGGUGUUUACUCGUUUCUUUGUGGGAUUGCAGUUUCACCUGUGCACACACCUGUAUUCUUUCUCUUUAAGAAGUUACGUGAAUUGUGUAUGUUCUGUUGGAAGGAUGGUAAAACUUUUAUCUUUAUUCCUAGAAAAAAUGUAGAAGAUUUCACUGGACCUAGAGAAAGAAGUGAUCUGGGAUUUAUCACAUUUGAUAUAACUGCUGAUCUAGAGAAUAUAUUUGAUUGGAAUGUUAAGCAGUUAUUUCUUUAUUUAUCAGCAGAAUAUUCAACAAAAAAUAAUGCUCUGAACCAAGUUGUCCUAUGGGACAAGAUUGUUUUGAGAGGUGAUAAUCCGAAGCUGCUGCUGAAAGAUAUGAAAACAAAAUAUUUUUUCUUUGACGAUGGAAAUGGUCUCAAGGGAAACAGGAAUGUCACUUUGACCCUGUCUUGGAACGUCGUACCAAAUGCUGGAAUUCUACCUCUUGUGACAGGAUCAGGACACGUAUCUGUCCCAUUUCCAGAUACAUAUGAAAUAACGAAGAGUUAUUAAAUUAUUCUGAAUUUGAAACAACAUAUUUUUAUACUUAAUGAAUUGUAUCUCAUUAAUCUCUUCCCUUACAUCUUCA